This 308-nucleotide unclassified non-coding RNA is filed under the name Hevea brasiliensis (rubber tree). The record is from RNAcentral. Lineage: Eukaryota; Viridiplantae; Streptophyta; Magnoliopsida; Malpighiales; Euphorbiaceae.
GCUAAUGAACACAAAUAAUUUGAUUAACAAACUAUCCACCUAUCUUCUGUUCUUUUACUAGAUAUAGCAUUUACCUUUACCAAUAAAAUUUUGACACUAGAUUUUACUCACUUAAAGUCUUAAACUAUAGCCUACCCUUUUUUUCACUUUUUUUGACAACCAUUGUCAUUUACUUCUUUACUUACCAUAACAAAUCAUCCACAAAUUUACAAGUGCUUUCACAAAAAGUCAAAAUAUUGUAUAAGAUAUGUGCUAGUAAUGUUGGCUUGGACUCUGGCAUUGCUACAAGAUUCUUCUCAACAUGCAAG